ACGAACGCUGGCGGCGUGCUUAGCACAUGCAAGUCGAACGGAAAGGCCCUGCUUUUGUGGGGUGCUCGAGUGGCGAACGGGUGAGUAACACGUGAGUAACCUGCCCUUGACUUUGGGAUAACUUCAGGAAACUGGGGCUAAUACCGGAUAGGAGCUCCUGCUGCAUGGUGGGGGUUGGAAAGUUUCGGCGGUUGGGGAUGGACUCGCGGCUUAUCAGCUUGUUGGUGGGGUAGUGGCUUACCAAGGCUUUGACGGGUAGCCGGCCUGAGAGGGUGACCGGCCACAUUGGGACUGAGAUACGGCCUAGACUCCUACGGGAGGCAGCAGUGGGGAAUAUUGCACAAUGGGCGGAAGCCUGAUGCAGCAACGCCGCGUGCGGGAUGACGGCCUUCGGGUUGUAAACCGCUUUCGCCUGUGACGAAGCGUGAGUGACGGUAAUGGGUAAAGAAGCACCGGCUAACUACGUG
Molecule: ribosomal RNA, 467 nt
Filed under: uncultured bacterium
Lineage: Bacteria
Description: partial 16S ribosomal RNA
Rfam family: Bacterial small subunit ribosomal RNA
Source: RNAcentral